RNAcentral lists this transfer RNA (76 nucleotides) under Sediminispirochaeta sp. Its description in RNAcentral is "tRNA-Thr". It matches the Rfam family "tRNA". From Rfam's summary of the family: Transfer RNA (tRNA) molecules are approximately 80 nucleotides in length. Their secondary structure includes four short double-helical elements and three loops (D, anti-codon, and T loops). Lineage: Bacteria; Pseudomonadati; Spirochaetota; Spirochaetia; Spirochaetales; Spirochaetaceae. The record is from RNAcentral.
GCCCUUGUAGCUCAGUCGGUAGAGCACCUCCAUGGUAAGGAGGGGGUCAUCGGUUCAAGUCCGAUCGAGGGCUCUA